UUUCACAUCCUUCUUUGUGAAUGACAAGUUUUGAUGGCCACCAAACAACUUAGACAUCACGUUCAUCAUAGCCUGGUGUGCCACCCCAUUCCUUGACAUGAUAGCAAACAGGUCAUCCAUCGCCGCCUCUCUUUGUUUGUGGGCAUGCAUGUACCUCGCCAUCCUGGGCAACGGGUGCAGCUUGUGGUUGUGUGCUUCCUCAACAUGGUCAAAGUAUCCUUACUUAACUUUCUU
Molecule: long non-coding RNA, 234 nt
Filed under: Setaria italica (foxtail millet)
Lineage: Eukaryota; Viridiplantae; Streptophyta; Magnoliopsida; Poales; Poaceae
Description: long non-coding RNA (SITA_LNC002024)
Source: RNAcentral